This 377-nucleotide ribosomal RNA is filed under the name uncultured bacterium. Its description in RNAcentral is "bacterial SSU rRNA". It matches the Rfam family "Bacterial small subunit ribosomal RNA", at positions 523 to 898 of the family's 1533-position model. The record is from RNAcentral.
AUACGUAGGUGGCGAGCGUUGUCCGGAAUUACUGGGUGUAAAGGGCGUGUAGGCGGGAAUGUAAGUCAGAUGUGAAAUCCCAGGGCUUAACUUUGGAGCUGCAUCUGAAACUAUGUUUCUUGAGUGCCGGAGAGGAAAGCGGAAUUCCUAGUGUAGCGGUGAAAUGCGUAGAUAUUAGGAGGAACACCAGUGGCGAAGGCGGCUUUCUGGACGGUAACUGACGCUGAGGCGCGAAAGCGUGGGGAGCAAACAGGAUUAGAUACCCUGGUAGUCCACGCCGUAAACGAUGGAUACUAGGUGUAGGAGGUAUCGACCCCUUCUGUGCCGGAGUUAACACAAUAAGUAUCCCACCUGGGGAGUACGGCCGCAAGGUUGAA